Molecule: non-coding RNA, 58 nt
Organism: Salmo salar (Atlantic salmon)
Lineage: Eukaryota; Metazoa; Chordata; Actinopteri; Salmoniformes; Salmonidae
Source: Rfam
UGGCUCAGUCUGUAGAGCAUGGUGUUUGUAACACCAGGGUUGUGGGUUCAGUUCCCAU